UAGGUAACCUGCCCCGGAGCGGGGGAUAACAUUUGGAAACAGAUGCUAAUACCGCAUAACAACAAAAGCCACAUGGCUUUUGUUUGAAAGAUGGCUUUGGCUAUCACUCUGGGAUGGACCUGCGGUGCAUUAGCUAGUUGGUAAGGUAACGGCUUACCAAGGCGAUGAUGCGUAGCCGAGUUGAGAGACUGAUCGGCCACAAUGGAACUGAGACACGGUCCAUACUCCUACGGGAGGCAGCAG
RNAcentral lists this ribosomal RNA (243 nucleotides) under uncultured bacterium. RNAcentral describes it as "partial 16S ribosomal RNA". It matches the Rfam family "Bacterial small subunit ribosomal RNA", at positions 118 to 354 of the family's 1533-position model. The record is from RNAcentral.